UAGUUUUUUUAGGUUUUGAUUUUUAUUGAAUUCAGAUGAGAAAACCAAAACCUAAAGAAAAUA
This is a microRNA precursor of Lepisosteus oculatus (spotted gar), 63 nucleotides long. It matches the Rfam family "mir-737 microRNA precursor family". Lineage: Eukaryota; Metazoa; Chordata; Actinopteri; Semionotiformes; Lepisosteidae. The record is from Rfam.